RNAcentral lists this ribosomal RNA (395 nucleotides) under uncultured Acidobacteriota bacterium. RNAcentral's name for it is "bacterial SSU rRNA". It matches the Rfam family "Bacterial small subunit ribosomal RNA", at positions 12 to 393 of the family's 1533-position model. The record is from RNAcentral. Lineage: Bacteria; Pseudomonadati; Acidobacteriota.
UUUGAUCCUGGCUCAGAACGAACGCUGGCGGCGUGGAUAAGACAUGCAAGUCGAACGAGGUAUUAUUUGUAGCAAUACAAGUGAUGCUUAGUGGCGCAAGGGUGCGUAACACGUGGGCAACCUGCCCUGAAGUUGGGGAUAGCCCGCCGAAAGGCGGAUUAAUACCGAAUGUGGCGAGGAAAGACAUCUUUCCGUAGCUAAAGCCGGGGCAACCUGGCGCUUCUGGAUGGGCCCGCGGCCUAUCAGCUAGUUGGUGAGGUAACGGCUCACCAAGGCGAUGACGGGUAGCUGGUCUGAGAGGACGACCAGCCACACUGGAACUGAGACACGGUCCAGACACCUACGGGUGGCAGCAGUCGAGAAUUUUUCUCAAUGGGGGAAACCCUGAAGGAGCG